GAAGGGCCAUCUCUCAACGGAUAAAAGGUACUCCGGGGAUAACAGGCUGAUACCGCCCAAGAGUUCAUAUCGACGGCAGUGUUUAGCACCUCGAUGUCGGCUCAUCACAUCCUGGGGCUGAAGUAGGUCCCAAGGGUAUGGCUGUUCGCCAUUUAAAGUGGUACGCGAGCUGGGUUUAGAACGUCGUGAGACAGUUCGGUCCCUAUCUGCCGUGGGCGCUGGAGAAUUGAGGGGGGCUGCUCCUAGUACGAGAGGACCGGAGUGGACGCAUCACUGGUGUUCGGGUUGUCAUGCCAAUGGCACUGCCCGGUAGCUAAAUGCGGAAGAGAUAAGUGCUGAAAGCAUCUAAGCACGAAACUUGCCCCGAGAUGAGUUCUCCCUGAGACUAUAAGUCUCCUGAAGGAACGUUGAAGACGACGACGUUGAUAGGCCGGGUGUGUAAGCGCAGCGAUGCGUUGAGCUAACCGGUACUAAUGAACCGUGAGGCUUAACCUUACAACGCCGAAG
RNAcentral lists this ribosomal RNA (507 nucleotides) under Klebsiella pneumoniae subsp. pneumoniae. RNAcentral describes it as "bacterial LSU rRNA". It matches the Rfam family "Bacterial large subunit ribosomal RNA", at positions 2436 to 2925 of the family's 2925-position model. The record is from RNAcentral. Lineage: Bacteria; Pseudomonadati; Pseudomonadota; Gammaproteobacteria; Enterobacterales; Enterobacteriaceae.